AGGGAUAGCACAGCUUUUUUGAGCUUUUCUUGUGAAGACUGUGUCUACUGUUGGGGAGGAUGCUAUUUCAUGCCCAUGUGAAGACUUUGCAGGACCAGAAGACAACCAUCUCAGGAAG
Molecule: long non-coding RNA, 118 nt
Organism: Sinocyclocheilus rhinocerous
Lineage: Eukaryota; Metazoa; Chordata; Actinopteri; Cypriniformes; Cyprinidae
Exons: 3
Source: RefSeq, a predicted model, not a curated record